RNAcentral lists this ribosomal RNA (432 nucleotides) under uncultured bacterium. RNAcentral's name for it is "partial 16S ribosomal RNA". It matches the Rfam family "Bacterial small subunit ribosomal RNA", at positions 29 to 506 of the family's 1533-position model. The record is from RNAcentral.
AACGAACGCUGGCGGCAUGCCUAACACAUGCAAGUCGAACGAGACCUUCGGGUCUAGUGGCGCACGGGUGCGUAACGCGUGGGAACCUGCCCUUAGGUUCGGAAUAACUCCCCGAAAGGGGUGCUAAUACCGGAUAAUGUCUUCGGACCAAAGAUUUAUCGCCUGUGGAUGGGCCCGCGUUGGAUUAGCUAGUUGGUAGGGUAAAAGCCUACUAAGGCGACGAUCCAUAGCUGGUCUGAGAGGAAGAUCAGCCACACUGGGAUUGAGACACGGCCCAGACUCCUACGAGAGGCAGCAGUGGGGAAUAUUGGACAGUGGGCGAAAGCCAGAUCCAGCAAUGCCGCGUGAGUGAUGAAGGCCUUAGGGUUGUAAAGCUCUUUUACCCGGGAUGAUAAGGACAGUACCGGGAGAAUAAGCUCCGGCUAACUCCGU